GUUCCCGUAGGGGGGACCUGCGGAGGGAUCAUUACCGAGUUUACAACUCCCAAACCCCUGUGAACAUACCUUAAUGUUGCCUCGGCGGAUCAGCCCGCGCCCUGUAAAAUGGGACGGCCCGCCAGAGGACCCUAAACUCUAAUGUUUCUUAUUGUAACUUCUGAGUAAAACAAACAAAUAAAUCAAAACUUUCAACAACGGAUCUCUUGGUUCUGGCAUCGAUGAAGAACGCAGCAAAAUGCGAUAAGUAAUGUGAAUUGCAGAAUUCAGUGAAUCAUCGAAUCUUUGAACGCACAUUGCGCCCGCUGGUAUUCCGGCGGGCAUGCCUGUUCGAGCGUCAUUUCAACCCUCAAGCCCCCGGGUUUGGUGUUGGGGAUCGGCUCUGCCCUUCUGGGCGGUGCCGCCCCCGAAAUACAUUGGCGGUCUCGCUGCAGCCUCCAUUGCGUAGUAGUCUAACACCUCGCAACUGGAACGCGGCGCGGCCAUGCCGUAAAACCCCAACUUCUGAAUGUUGACCUCGGAUCAGGUAGGAAUACCCGCUGAACUUAAGCAUAUCAAAGACCGAA
This 566-nucleotide ribosomal RNA is filed under the name Fusarium sp. 14 YS-2008. Its description in RNAcentral is "eukaryotic LSU rRNA". The stretch from base 187 to 340 matches the Rfam family "5.8S ribosomal RNA". Lineage: Eukaryota; Fungi; Ascomycota; Sordariomycetes; Hypocreales; Nectriaceae. The record is from RNAcentral.